ACCCUUUUAGUUCUUUUUAGUUGGAACUUUAGGCGGUUCUCGAAAAAAGAUAGCGAAAAAAAUUAUCCCUAGAGUCGAGACUAAGAGGAAUGUAUAAACCAAUGCUUCCAUAGAUUCGAUCGUGGUUUACAAUUAUAGCUUUCAUACCUGUUUGUUUCUUUUUAUUUCCUUUUUUUAUCAUCUUCCAGAUAAAGAACGAACAAGAGUAAAAACGAAGUUGAUUCAAAUAAAGAUUUCUCUGGUACCCUAUGUCAAUAAAAGUAAAAGAAAGAAAAUAAGGGCGAAAGAAAGAUACCAAAGCAAUGUUGUAUCAGGCUGCCUGUCUUUUUGUAGUUGGAUCUCCAAGUUUUUGGAAUGCUCCAAAUUCGACUUGAGCAUCUAAAUCUGGGUCAAUACCAGCAAAAACAUCUCUGAACAAGGUUCUAGCACCAUGCCAAAUGUGUCCGAAGAAGAAGAGCAAAGCAAACGAAGCAUGCCCAAAAGUAAACCAACCCCUUGGACUGCUACGAAAAACACCAUCGGAUUUCAAAGUAGCACGAUCUAAUUAAAAAAAUUCACCCAAUUGAGCA
Molecule: long non-coding RNA, 569 nt
Filed under: Solanum tuberosum (potato)
Lineage: Eukaryota; Viridiplantae; Streptophyta; Magnoliopsida; Solanales; Solanaceae
Description: long non-coding RNA (STUB_LNC001902)
Source: RNAcentral